AACGAACGCUGGCGGCAUGCCUAACACAUGCAAGUCGAACGAGACCUUCGGGUCUAGUGGCGCACGGGUGCGUAACGCGUGGGAACCUGCCCUUAGGUUCGGAAUAACUCCCCGAAAGGGGUGCUAAUACCGGAUAAUGUCUUCGGACCAAAGAUUUAUCGCCUUUGGAUGGGCCCGCGUUGGAUUAGCUAGUUGGUAGGGUAAAAGCCUACCAAGGCGACGAUCCAUAGCUGGUCUGAGAGGAUGAUCAGCCACACUGGGACUGAGACACGGCCCAGACUACUACGGGAGGCAGCAGUGGGGAAUAUUGGACAAUGGGCGAAAGCCUGAUCCAGCCAUGGCGCGUGAGUGAUGAAGGCCUUAGGGUUGUUAAGCUCUUUUACCCGGGAUGAUAAUGACAGUACCGGGAGAAUAAGCUCCGGCUAACUCCGUG
This 433-nucleotide ribosomal RNA is filed under the name uncultured bacterium. Its description in RNAcentral is "partial 16S ribosomal RNA". It matches the Rfam family "Bacterial small subunit ribosomal RNA", at positions 29 to 507 of the family's 1533-position model. The record is from RNAcentral.